GACGAACGCUGGCGGCGUGCUUAACACAUGCAAGUCGAACGGAAAGGCCCUGCUUUUGUGGGGUGCUCGAGUGGCGAACGGGUGAGUAACACGUGAGUAACCUGCCCUUGACUUUGGGAUAACUUCAGGAAACUGGGGCUAAAACCGGAUAGGAGCUCCUGCUGCAUGGUGGGGGUUGGAAAGUUUCGGCGGUUGGGGAUGGACUCGCGGCUUAUCAGCUUGUUGGUGGUGUAGUGGCUUACCAAGGCUUUGACGGGUAGCCGGCCUGAGAGGGUGACCGGCCACAUUGGGACUGAGAUACGGCCCAGACUCCUACGGGAGGCAGCAGUGGGGAAUAUUGCACAACGGGCGGAAGCCUGAUGCAGCAACGCCGCGUGCGGGAUGACGGCCUUCGGGUUGUAAACCGCUUUCGCCUGUGACGAAGCGUGAGUGACGGUAAUGGGUAAAGAAGCACCGGCUAACUACGUG
This 468-nucleotide ribosomal RNA is filed under the name uncultured bacterium. RNAcentral's name for it is "partial 16S ribosomal RNA". It matches the Rfam family "Bacterial small subunit ribosomal RNA", at positions 28 to 507 of the family's 1533-position model. The record is from RNAcentral.